This 237-nucleotide ribosomal RNA is filed under the name uncultured bacterium. RNAcentral describes it as "partial 16S ribosomal RNA". It matches the Rfam family "Bacterial small subunit ribosomal RNA", at positions 15 to 240 of the family's 1533-position model. The record is from RNAcentral.
GAUCAUGGCUCAGGAUGAACGCUAGCUACAGGCUUAACACAUGCAAGUCGAGGGGCAGCAUUUUAGUUUGCUUGCAAACUAAAGAUGGCGACCGGCGCACGGGUGAGUAACACGUAUCCAACCUGCCGAUAACUCAGGGAUAGCCUUUCGAAAGAAAGAUUAAUACCUGAUGGCAUAGGAUUAUCGCAUGAUAAUCCUAUUAAAGAAUUUCGGUUUAUCGAUGGGGAGUGCGUUCCU